UCAGUUCAGAUUGCAGGCUGCAACCCACCUGCAUGAAGUCGGAAUUGCUAGUAAUCGCGGAUCAGCAUGCCGCGGUGAAUACGUUCCCGGGCCUUGUACACACCGCCCGUCACACCAUGGGAGCCGGUAAUACCCGAAGUCAGUAGUCCAACCUCGUGAGGACGCUGCCGAAGGUAGGAUUGGCGACUGGGGUGAAGUCGUAACAAGGUAGC
RNAcentral lists this ribosomal RNA (212 nucleotides) under uncultured bacterium. Its description in RNAcentral is "partial 16S ribosomal RNA". It matches the Rfam family "Bacterial small subunit ribosomal RNA", at positions 1288 to 1500 of the family's 1533-position model. The record is from RNAcentral.